CUGAAGUCUCAUGUUGCUUCCACCCAGAAGCAAAGCUCUCUCUAUGAUCUGUGAGCCUGCUUUCCUGGAUUUUCUCACUCAGCAUUGAUCUGCAGUUAUGUCAGAGAUGACUGGCAACCAAAAGAGGAACGAGAAAAGGCUACUGUCCACAAGGAAUUUACAAACACUGCUAUAGUGCUGCUGAUGAUGUUGGCUGUGAUGAAAAUAUCUGAUGCUUCAGCUCCCGUCUUGUUACCUAAAGGUUAUCAUUAAAGCUACAUUCAUCACAAGGACUUGCACCAUCUGCAGCUUUGCAGAUGGCACCAAACUGAGUGAUGCAGAUGACACAACAGAAGUGACAGACGCCAUCCAGAGAGACCUGAACACAC
RNAcentral lists this long non-coding RNA (368 nucleotides) under Gallus gallus (chicken). Lineage: Eukaryota; Metazoa; Chordata; Aves; Galliformes; Phasianidae. The record is from RNAcentral.